AGAGGAGAGACUGAGACAGGACAGGGAAGAAGCCGAAAGACAGGAAAGGAUAGAGAAGAAGAGGAGGAGGGAGAGAGGAGAGAGGAGGGAGCAGGAGAGACUGGACCAAGAAGGAAAGGAUGACAUGGCUGGAAGACAGGUGAACACUGAAGGAGAGAAGGAAGAGAAACAGAGAAGUGAUCCACCCCUUAAAAAUAAAGGUUUCCUUUCAAACCUGAAAGUGCGCAUCAUGGAACACCAGAGGGACCAGAUCCUCAAAGCCAUCUCCAAGACCACCAAGAAGGAGGCCAAUGUGUUUCUUUCAGAUGAUACUCCUGAACUGAAGGAGAUCAGAACCUUGAGGCAACAAGGAACGAGGAAUAAGCUGCUAAUGAAACUGCAAGCUUUGGAGGAAAGGAUCAAACAAAAGAAGGAAAAGGGACUUAAGAAGGAAACUGGAGAGGAAGGAGACAGGAAAGAGAAAAAGGGAAGGUUUUCCGAAAUAGCUCAACUGUUUUCUAGGUAAAGGGAUUUGAAUGGUUUGAAAACGACUUAUAUAACAUAACUUAUAAUGAAAAAUCUGAGGAGGCUUGAAGAAAGAGAGAGACUGAAAGUAUGGAGAGACCAAUACAGGAGCAGGGAGAGAGAGAGAGAGACAGGCAGGUAAGUAUGGAGGAGAUGAGGUUUGAAGACGACUUGUAUAACACAACUUAGAAUGAAAAGUCUGAGGAGGCUUGAAGAAAGAGAGACUGAAAGUAUGGAGAGACUGAGACAGGAGCUGGGAUAGAGAGAGAGAGAAACAGGUAAGUAUGGAGGAGAUGAGGUUUGAAGACGACUUGUAUAACACAACUUUGAAUGAAAAAUCUGAGGAGGCUUGAAGAAAGAGAGACUGAAAGUAUGGAGAGACUGAGACAGGAGCUGGGAGAGAGAGAGAGAGAGAGAGAAACAGGUAAGUAUGGAGGAGAUGAGGUUUGAAGACGACUUGUAUAACACAACUUAUAAUGAAAAAUCUGAGGAGGCUUGAAGAAAGAGAGACUGAAAGUAUGGAGAGACCAAUACAGGAGCAGGGAGAGAGAGACAGGCAGGUAAGUAUGGAGAAGAUGAGCAGAGGGAGGAAGAGAAGAUUGAGUAAAGAGCAUGAGGAGAGACUGCAACAGGACGAGGAAGAGGAGAGGAGACUAAGACUGAAGGAGAGACCCCUUCAAAAUAAAGGUUUAAAGACGACUUGUAUAACAACUUAAAAUGAAAAAUCUGAGGAGGUUUGAAGAAAGAGAGACUGAUGGUAUGGAGAGACUGAGACAGGAGCUGGGAGAGAGAGAGAAACACGGAAGUAUGUGGAAUAUGAGCAUAAGGAGAGACUGAGACAGGAAAGGAGAGGAGACUAAGACUGAAGGAGAAGGAGAAAUCCCUUCAAAAUAAUGGUUUGAGGAAGACUUGUAUAAAACAUCUUAUAAUGACAAAUCUAAGGAGGCUUGAAGAAAGAGACUGAUAGUAUGGAGAGACUGAGACAGGAGCGGGAGAGACAGAGACUGGUAAGUGGAGAAGAUGAGGUUUGAAGACGACUUGUAUUGCACAACUUAAAUGUAAAAUCUGAGGAGGCUAAGACUGAAGGAGGAGAGACCCCUUCAAAAUAACAUUUUGAAGAUGACUUGUAUAACACAACUUCUAAUGAAAAACCAGGAGAUACGUUUCAUUAAAAGGUGUUAAGUACUGUAAA
Notolabrus celidotus (New Zealand spotty) is the source of this 1696-nucleotide long non-coding RNA. RefSeq lists it as uncharacterized. The transcript has 2 exons. NCBI's taxonomy places the organism in Eukaryota, Metazoa, Chordata, Actinopteri, Labriformes, Labridae. The record is from RefSeq and is a predicted model, not a curated record.